This 274-nucleotide ribosomal RNA is filed under the name uncultured Glomeromycotina. RNAcentral describes it as "partial large subunit ribosomal RNA". Lineage: Eukaryota; Fungi; Glomeromycota. The record is from RNAcentral.
CAGUCAUGCUAGUGAGGAAUCAGCGCGAGGGACGCUCUCGUGUGCACUUCUUCGCUUGGCAGGUUAGCAUCAAUUUUGGUCGUCAUAAAAUUAUUGGGGUAAGGUGGCUCCCCUCGGGGAGUGUUAUAGACCCUAGUAGAUGUGAUGACCGGGAUUGAGGAUUGCAGCGAAUGCUACUUGGCUAGUCACCUGGAUUUCUGUUGAUCACCUCGCCGUUGAUAGCUUCGCUAACCUCGGUGGGAUCUGAUCGACUAGAUGUUAGGCUGAUCGUAAA